Long non-coding RNA from Quercus lobata, 741 nucleotides. RefSeq lists it as uncharacterized. The record is from RefSeq and is a predicted model, not a curated record. Lineage: Eukaryota; Viridiplantae; Streptophyta; Magnoliopsida; Fagales; Fagaceae. The transcript has 3 exons.
UUAAAAAGAAAGUCAUUCUCAUCAUCAACAUCAUCAUUAUAUGCCUUGACCCUUUUCUAGCGCAACCUGAUCCUCACCCUCCACUGCACCUCAACGCCAAUUCCAUCUCUCUCUCUCUCGCUCAAAUUGUCAGAAUUGCUAGUAAUUCGGAAAUCCUUUGCCUUUACACUUACAAACCACAAGAUGGGCUCAAACUCCACGCACGGAUCUUCAAGCAAAAAAGCGACAUCGUGAUAGUGCUACUGCUAGUCCACCCGUACUCGGUGAUGGCCUAAUAAGAGGUUCUCUCACAAUGUUGUUGCUGUCUGCAACUGGGUCUCGCAUUUUGUUGGACUCUGGUGGAUAGUUUGCUCAAUACUUUGUACAUUCCAUGUGUAAUUUCAGAUGGUGGAUCUGAUCAUGCAGGACUCCCGCAGCCUGACUGGUUAAACAUGUGCUUAAUGUUUGGAUACCAUUGCAAAAAUCAAUAUAAGAACCUUGAUGAGGGUUUAAAAUUUUAAAUUUGCAGCUAUCACCACAGAAGGCCAAAUAUUUUGCAUGUCCUGGAUAUUUGAAAUAGAGAUUUCUGGGGAGUCAAUUUCAGUACAACCUUUAACAUCAAAGACAGCCAUUAUUACCAACAAAAUCUCUAGAUCUUAUACUUACAUGUUGUUCACUGCCCCUAAUACUAUUUUACAACCGAGUCCAUGCCGGUGCAAAUUUCACUUGAUGAAUGAAAAAAUCAAUGCUUUCUUUCGAGUU